CCUACGGGUGGCAGCAGUGAGGAAUAUUGGUCAAUGGGCGGGAGCCUGAACCAGCCAAGUCGCGUGAGGGAAUACGGUCCUAUGGAUUGUAAACCUCUUUUACCGGGGGACAAAAGGCCGGACUCGUCCGGUCCUGAGAGUACCCGGAGAAAAAGCAUCGGCAAACUCCGUUCCACCAGCCGCGGUAAUAAGGAGGAUGCGAGCGUUAUCGGGAUUCAUUGGGUGAAUGGGUUGGGCAGGGGGGCCGUUAGGCCGGCGGUGAAAGCGCGGGGCCCAACCCCGCCUGGCCGUCGUAACUGGGGGACUUGAGUGAGGGGGAGGGAUGCGGAAUGCGCGGUGUAGCGGUGAAAUGCGUAGAUAUCGAGCAGAACACAGAUUGCGAAGGCAGCGUGCCGUGCAGCCACUGACGCUGAGGCACGAAAGCGAGGGGAGCGAAAAGGAUUAGAUACCCCUGUAGUC
RNAcentral lists this ribosomal RNA (459 nucleotides) under uncultured bacterium. RNAcentral describes it as "partial 16S ribosomal RNA". It matches the Rfam family "Bacterial small subunit ribosomal RNA", at positions 338 to 795 of the family's 1533-position model. The record is from RNAcentral.